UGGCCAUACCACCUGAACACGCCCGAUCUCGUCUGAUCUCGGAAGCUAAGCAGGGUCGGGCCUGGUUAGUACUUGGAUGGGAGACCUCCUGGGAAUACUGGGUGCUGUAGG
Molecule: ribosomal RNA, 111 nt
Filed under: Chelydra serpentina (North American snapping turtle)
Lineage: Eukaryota; Metazoa; Chordata; Testudines; Chelydridae
Source: RNAcentral